AGCGAACGCUGGCGGCAGGCUUAACACAUGCAAGUCGAGCGGGCACUUCGGUGUCAGCGGCAGACGGGUGAGUAACACGUGGGAACGUACCCUUCGGUUCGGAAUAACGCUGGGAAACUAGCGCUAAUACCGGAUACGCCCUUUUGGGGAAAGGUUUACUGCCGAAGGAUCGGCCCGCGUCUGAUUAGCUAGUUGGUGGGGUAAUGGCCUACCAAGGCGACGAUCAGUAGCUGGUCUGAGAGGAUGAUCAGCCACACUGGGACUGAGACACGGCCCAGACUCCUACAGGAGGCAGCAGUGGGGAAUAUUGGACAAUGGGCGCAAGCCUGAUCCAGCCAUGCCGCGUGAGUGAUGAAGGCCUUAGGGUUGUAAAGCUCUUUUGUCCGGGACGAUAAUGACGGUACUGGAAGAAUAAGCCCCGGCUAACUUCGUG
This 433-nucleotide ribosomal RNA is filed under the name uncultured bacterium. Its description in RNAcentral is "partial 16S ribosomal RNA". It matches the Rfam family "Bacterial small subunit ribosomal RNA", at positions 29 to 507 of the family's 1533-position model. The record is from RNAcentral.